Molecule: long non-coding RNA, 2527 nt
Organism: Ictalurus punctatus (channel catfish)
Lineage: Eukaryota; Metazoa; Chordata; Actinopteri; Siluriformes; Ictaluridae
Exons: 3
Source: RefSeq, a predicted model, not a curated record
UGUGUGUGUUGGGGUGGGGGGUUUGGGGGUCAUGUUUUUAUAUCUUGUUGGGGACCAAAUGGUACAAGAUCGUCUUUUGUGUAUUCUGUCAUUUGUGCGCUCCUUUAAUGCUACUGUAAUGUACAGACAGGGAGCUCUGAUACGUUCCUGUGAGCAGUGUGCCGAACAAUAGCAUUGCACACACACACACGUAUAAAUCAGUGCUGGUGUGUAUACCAACACUUCCCCCACAUGUGAUUAAACUCUUGUGUAUUGAUCUCUGUCCUGAAGCAUGCAUGGUUGUGAAUGCAUGCUUUCAUCCAAUCUGAACGUAAAUUCAUGAAAAAAAGAGUGAGUGUGUGUGGAUGCAUGUUCUAGUACCUUCUAGUUUCAUUUGUACGUGCCGUCUAUGUUUAUUUAAAAAGGAAAGAAAGAAAGGACAGCAUGUGUGCAUGUUCUAGUAGGUUACUAAUCUAAUAUGUGGGUGCAGUUUGGAGUACCUCAGUCAAGGGACUGAAUACUACUAAAGGAGAGAUUUCACAGACGUUUCGAAACACUUGUUUUCACUUCAUCGGGGAUUACUACACACAGAUUAAUUGCGAAAAAUUCAGUUUAAUCCAUCCAUCCAUAUUCUGUACCGUUUUUACCUACACAGGGUCACGGGAUAGCCCGUAGCGUAUCCCAGAGAGCUCGGGGCACAAGCAGGGGGACACCCUGGACGCAUGUCUUCGGACUGGAGGAGGAAACCGGAGUACCCGGAGGAAACACCCGAAGCACGGGGAGAACAUGCAAACUCAGUGUGCACACAGGCGGGAUUCGACCCCCCAACCCCGGCGGUCUGAGGCGAUUGUAUUUACAAAAUAAAGUUUAACACUUUAAUUUGAAAUAUUAUUAAUAUUAUUCAAUUCGAUUUGAUUUGUAUAGCGCUUCUAGAAUGAUCUCAAAGCAGCUUUACAGAAACAUACAAACACAGGAUGGAGAUUUUAAGUGUGUGGAUUUAUCCCUAUUGAGCGAGACGGUGGAGACGGUGGUGAGGAAAAACUCCCGAAGAUGAUAUGAGGAAGAAACCUUGAGAGAAACCAGACUCGGAAGGGAACCCGUCAUCAUCUGAGUCACACCGGAUAUAAGGCAAAAUCCAGCCUUUACUGAUAAUUGUGCGGCUGAGUGAAACGCUAUCAUUCACCGAGCACCAGGCUUUGCGAGAGGUGAUGAUGCAUCAGGGUGCCAUUAAUCGCCUAAUCCAAGAAGGUGGUGUUAGUGAGGUGUAGCUGCACUGCUGAGACAAAAAAAAAAAAAAAAAAAAAAGACCUCAUGGAGCAUGUGGUAUAAAUAGACCCUCAAAUCGAUAAAACUGAACUAAGCGAGUCUUUACGUUUAUUUACGUGUGUGAAUGGAAGCCUGUCCUGACUCAAACAGCUCAAUAAGCAUUGAGCUGGAGUUAAUCGAUAUAUCACACGGUAUAUACUCUGUACAUUCUGCUUUGUAAAGUGCGCAUCAUAUACACAGAGGAUUAACACCAGGGCUCAGCUUACCUCUUUAUAGGGUGUCAGGUUGAGGGAUGAUGAGGGUGUACAAACUUUCUGUCAGUAGGCUUCAUGCUGCGCCGACAUGAUGAACGGUUUCAAUUUUCCACAUGCAAUCUGAUAAGAAAUGAUAUGAAUUUUCCAGUUAGCUCAGCGACUGAAAUGUGUUCCUCUCGCUUUCUGUCUGCACUUCGUCUCAGGGUUCCCUUCCAGAAGCUUCUGAUAGCUGACCGAGGGCUUGGUGCUGCUUGCAGGAAUAUAUAUAUAUAUAUAUAUAUAGUGUAACAUUUAAUAGAUAAGUCUGUACUUUUAGCCCUCCAUCAGUUUCUUAACAUUGUACAUAGUACAUUGGCUAAUAACAUUUAGGCUUCAUAGUUUAUCAGGUGUAAUCCUUCUGGAUCCAAAGAGCUGAAAUGAAAAGAAAAUGAACCACAAAAAAAUUCUCCAAAAAGGUUCUAUAUAGCUAGCAGGAAGAAGGCUGAGGCCGGUAAAAUGAGCAGGGGACCAUCACCACUUUCCCUGGCUCCGGAUGAGGAGCCGGAACUGUCCCUUAAUCAAGGGUGACCCACGGUCGAUGGGAUUCCAGGGAGCAGUUCAUCAGCGUCAGCUGCCUAUCGUGAUAUGAGAGACUUGGUAAAAUUUCAUAUAGGUCUCGUCAAUGGAAGGGCACAUAUGUGGCUGCAAAGUGGAUGGGUGGAGGGCUGUAAUUCCCAAAUAUGCGGUCAAUCAUCUUCUACAACCUGAGUGUACUGGCCUCAGCAGGGUAUGUGGAGAGGAUCUUCUCCAGGACGGCAAAUUAAUGGAGCGAUGUCCAUAACCAGUGCUUUGUGGAGCUCAUGAGGAAUGAGCUCCUGAUCUCACUCGACUUCGACCUGCCCUGUGCCGACUUUCAGUCAUUUUGAAAGAUAAGUCAUUGCUUAAUGCAGCAAGGAGGGAUUAAAAAGUACUCAUGGAAGAGCAAGUAAUGAAGAAAGAAAAUAAUUCCUCUCCAUGGAGAGAGAUGAAAUGAACUGUUCCAUAGACAC